RNAcentral lists this ribosomal RNA (253 nucleotides) under uncultured bacterium. Its description in RNAcentral is "partial 16S ribosomal RNA". It matches the Rfam family "Bacterial small subunit ribosomal RNA", at positions 524 to 776 of the family's 1533-position model. The record is from RNAcentral.
UACAGAGGUCCCAAGCGUUGUUCGGAUUCACUGGGCGUAAAGGGUGCGUAGGUGGCUUGGUAAGUUUGAUGUGAAAUCCCCGGGCUUAACCUGGGAACUGCAGUCGAGACUGUCUAGCUAGAGUAUGGGAGAGGGAAGUGGAAUUUCAGGUGUAGCGGUGAAAUGCGUAGAUAUCUGAAGGAACAUCAGUGGCGAAAGCGACUUCCUGGACCAAUACUGACGCUCAUGUGCGAAAGCGUGGGGAGCAAACAGG